GAUGAACGCUGGCGGCGGGCCUAAUACAUGCAAGUCGAGCGAACAGACGAGGAGCUUGCUCCUCUGACGUUAGCGGCGGACGGGUGAGUAACACGUGGAUAACCUACCUAUAAUACUGGGAUAACUUCGGGAAACCGGAGCUAAUACCGGAUAAUAUAUUGAACCGCAUGGUUCAAUAGUGAAAGACGGUUUUGCUGUCACUUAUAGAUGGAUCCGCGCCGCAUUAGCUAGUUGGUAAGGUAACGGCUUACCAAGGCGACGAUGCGUAGCCGACCUGAGAGGGUGAUCGGCCACACUGGAACUGAGACACGGUCCAGACUCCUACGGGAGGCAGCAGUAGGGAAUCUUGCGCAAUGGGCGAAAGCUUGACGGAGCAACGCCGCGUGAGUGAUGAAGGUCUUCGGAUCGUAAAACUCUGUUAUUAGGGAAGAACAACUGUGUAAGUAACUAUGCACGUCUUGACGGUACCUAAUCAGAAAGCCACGGCUAACUACGUG
RNAcentral lists this ribosomal RNA (497 nucleotides) under uncultured bacterium. RNAcentral describes it as "partial 16S ribosomal RNA". It matches the Rfam family "Bacterial small subunit ribosomal RNA", at positions 28 to 507 of the family's 1533-position model. The record is from RNAcentral.